GCGGGUAUAUUAGCCCAAUGGUUCAAUGCUGUCCCAAUAUAAUAAUCACCAUUGCGUCGCCCUUUCUUGUGUGUCAUUAAUCAACAACUGACAGAAAAGUUUCCACUGCAAGUUGCCGCGUGUGUUAUUCACAUGCCUGCGCUGCCGUUCCUCCCUGGCCAGCCGACAAUAUUGAGUUCCCCACCCCAUAUAUCACUUCCAGCAAAAGACAAAAAAAAAAUAUCACAAAAUAAUAAUAGUGAUAAUAAUCAUAAUCAUAAUAAUAAUCAUAAUAAUCAUAUAAUAGUAAUAGUAAUAAUGGAUGCGACCCACAUCGCAGCCAGCCAGCGGAAUAUAAAAAUCCAAUCACAGCG
RNAcentral lists this small RNA (353 nucleotides) under Histoplasma capsulatum var. duboisii H88. RNAcentral's name for it is "Histoplasma capsulatum H88 hypothetical RNA". Lineage: Eukaryota; Fungi; Ascomycota; Eurotiomycetes; Onygenales; Ajellomycetaceae. The record is from RNAcentral.